Molecule: ribosomal RNA, 537 nt
Filed under: Triticum aestivum (bread wheat)
Lineage: Eukaryota; Viridiplantae; Streptophyta; Magnoliopsida; Poales; Poaceae
Description: partial small subunit ribosomal RNA
Source: RNAcentral
AUGCUUUUUUUGUGUAAGUUAGUUGAAGUGGAAGCAACUGUUCAUUCCCUUGAUUACUUAAAUGUUCAACUCAUGUGUUUAUGUAUGUAUUUUUUAUUUUUUUACCCAUCGUUUUUAAGAAUGGCUUUUUUCUGGCAUAUAUCAGGAACAAUGGAUGACAGCAGUAAGGAAAUGCAGGAAGACCGCCUUCCAGUCAAUCCUGACGCCAAUCCUUCUAAUGUUACUGCAGAUAAUGAAACAGAGGCUCGUAGCACUGCGCCCACAAUUGGGUACAAGCGUCAAAGAAUGUCGAAAGCGAUCAUUGCUCGUGGCCCCCGUCCAUCAGAUAUUGAUAGCAACGAGGAUGUAUCUAGAGAUGCUGAUAAGGACCCUGAAUUUGACAAAGAUAAUGAGCGUGAAGCUGACAAAGAUAUUGAGGAUCAUCCAAGAAAAGCAAAGCGCCAAAAGUCUUCAGGAAAUGAGGGUUUUAGGAACAGGGGAUCACCUGCAAGGCUGUAUAAACUAAACAAAUCUCUUAUAUCUGUCCAAAAGGGUUGA